RNAcentral lists this ribosomal RNA (483 nucleotides) under uncultured bacterium. RNAcentral describes it as "bacterial SSU rRNA". It matches the Rfam family "Bacterial small subunit ribosomal RNA", at positions 17 to 518 of the family's 1533-position model. The record is from RNAcentral.
UUCUGGCUCAGGAUGAACGCUGGCGGCGUGCCUAAUACGAUGCAAGUCGAACGGGAAGUUAGCAAUAGCUUCUAGUGGCGAACGGGUGAGUAACGCGGUGGGUGACCUGCCCCGAAGUGAGGGAUACCAGCUCGAAAGGGCUGCUAAUACCGCGAUGCGGUUUCUGGGAUUAGAAGCCGGAAACGAAAGCAGCGAUGCGCUUUGGGAGGGGCCUGCGUCCCAUCAGCUGGUUGGUAAGGUAACGGCUUACCAAGGCGACGACGGUAGGGGACCUGAGAGGGUGAUCCCCCACAUUGGCACUGAAACACGGGCCAAACACCUACGGGUGGCAGCAGUAGGGAAUCUUGCACAAUGGGCGCAAGCCUGAUGCAAGCAACGCCGCGUGCGCGAUGAAGGCCUUCGGGUCGUAAAGCGCUUUUCUGGAGGACGAGCAAGGACGGUACUCCAGGAAUAAGGCUCGGCUAACUACGUGCCAGCAGCCGC